RNAcentral lists this ribosomal RNA (253 nucleotides) under uncultured bacterium. Its description in RNAcentral is "partial 16S ribosomal RNA". It matches the Rfam family "Bacterial small subunit ribosomal RNA", at positions 524 to 776 of the family's 1533-position model. The record is from RNAcentral.
UACGUAGGUGGCAAGCGUUGUCCGGAAUUAUUGGGCGUAAAGCGCGCGCAGGCGGUCCUUUAAGUCUGAUGUGAAAGCCCACGGCUCAACCGUGGAGGGUCAUUGGAAACUGGGGGACUUGAGUGCAGAAGAGGAGAGUGGAAUUCCACGUGUAGCGGUGAAAUGCGCAGAUAUCAGGAGGAACACCAAUAGCGAAGGCAGCUCGCUGGGACGUUACUGACACUAAGGCGCGAAAGCGUGGGGAGCGAACAGG